GCCGCUGUAGCUCAGUUGGCAGAGCACCUCACUUGUAAUGAGGCUGUCGGGAGUUCGACUCUCCCCAGCGGCU
This 73-nucleotide transfer RNA is filed under the name Chloroflexota bacterium. RNAcentral's name for it is "Chloroflexi bacterium tRNA-Thr". It matches the Rfam family "tRNA". Rfam says of the family: Transfer RNA (tRNA) molecules are approximately 80 nucleotides in length. Their secondary structure includes four short double-helical elements and three loops (D, anti-codon, and T loops). Lineage: Bacteria; Bacillati; Chloroflexota. RNAcentral also lists the same sequence under 1 other name. The record is from RNAcentral.